GUGGGGAAUAUUGGACAAUGGGCGCAAGCCUGAUCUGCAGCCAUGCCGCGUGAGUGAUGAAGGCCUUAGGGUUGUAAAGCUCUUUUGGCCGGGACGAAAAUGACGGUACCGAGAGAACAAGCCCCGGCCCGGUUCGUGCCAGCGGCCCCGGUAAUACGAA
Molecule: ribosomal RNA, 160 nt
Filed under: uncultured bacterium
Lineage: Bacteria
Description: partial 16S ribosomal RNA
Rfam family: Bacterial small subunit ribosomal RNA
Source: RNAcentral